Molecule: ribosomal RNA, 433 nt
Filed under: uncultured bacterium
Lineage: Bacteria
Description: partial 16S ribosomal RNA
Rfam family: Bacterial small subunit ribosomal RNA
Source: RNAcentral
AACGAACGCUGGCGGCAUGCCUAACACAUGCAAGUCGAACGAGACCUUCGGGUCUCGUGGCGCUAGGGAUCGUAACGCGUGGGAACCGGCUCAUAGGUUCUGAAUAACCCCCCGAAAGGGGUGCUAAUGUCGGAAACUGUCUUCGAACCAAAGAUUUAUCGCCUUUGGGUGGGCCCGCGUUGGAUUAGCUAGUUGGUAGGGUAAAAGCCUACCAAGGCGACGAUCCAUAGCUGGUCUGAGAGGAUGAUCCGCCACACUGGGACUGAGACACGGCCCAGACUCCUACGGGAGGAAGCAGUGGGGAAUAUUGGACGAUGCGCGAAAGCCUGAGCCAGCAAUGCCGUGUGAGUGAUGAAGGCCGUAGGGUUGUAAAGCUCUUUUACACGGGAUGAUAAUGACAGUACCGGAAGAAUAAGCCCCGGCUAACUCCGUG